Molecule: non-coding RNA, 554 nt
Organism: Myripristis murdjan (pinecone soldierfish)
Lineage: Eukaryota; Metazoa; Chordata; Actinopteri; Holocentriformes; Holocentridae
Source: the annotation of a RefSeq genome assembly
UUUAUAGUCCUGUGGGUUCAACACUGCAGGACUCACAUGUGUCAGUCAACACAGCACAAAGCACAAGCAGCAUGACUCUCAUCAGCAUCUUCAUCUGGACGCUGGCCUGCUGCUGCUUCACAGGAUCCAGCAGUCAGAUGACUGUGACUCAGCCUCCAGUGGUGACAUUUACUCCAGGAUCCACUGUCACCCUGUCCUGCAGAACCAACACGGCAGUUCUCACAUUUGAUGAUGGAGAUGAGGCACUUUACUGGUAUCAACAGAAAUCUGGAGAGGCUCCAAAGCUCUUAAUAAAAUGGGUGAAAACACUUGUGUCAGGAACACCAGCUCGGUUUAGUGGCAGUGGAAGAAGGACUGACUUCACUUUGACCAUCAGUAGAGUUCAGGCUGAAGAUGCAGCAGUUUAUUACUGUAAGAGUGUCCACACAACUGAAGGAUACACACAGUGAUAGAGAGCCGUACAAAAACCUCCCUCAGUCAGACUGCAUAGACACUGACUUGUUAGAGUGGGAACUGACUGCAGCUACUGUAGGGGAAGAGACUCUGACACAGAC